CGCCUCCUGCCCCCUCACAGGAGGUCAUGCCUGCACAAUGACCUGCGGGUUAAAUUGCCGCGGUACCCUGACCGUGCUAAGGUAGCGUAAUAACUAGCCUGUUAAUUGCUGGCCCGUAUGAAUGGCUCGACGCUGGUGGCGCUGUCUCUGCUGCACUUCGUUGAAUUUGACCUCUUGGUGAAAAGGCCAGGAUACUACUAAAAGACGACAAGACCCUGUCGAACUUCAGGCUAACCCGUGAGGAAAAACCGCUCAAAUCACGGGAGAACCUUUGGUUGGGAGAACCGGGGACCAAACAAAACGUCCACCCCCACAACAGACUAAGCCCAAGGGAUAGUAAAAAAAUAAUCUUUCCUGAAAGCCUAACAAGGCACAAGCAACUAGACAACCUUGAUCCAGGCCCUAUUACUCCUGAACAUGGGAAAAGUUACCGCAGGGAUAACAGCGUAAUCCCCCCGGCGAGACCACAUUAAGGGGGGGGUUUGCGACCUCGAUGUUGGCUUAAGGCACCCCAGGGGUGCAGCAGCUCCUAACGGUUGGUCUGUUCGACCACAAACGCCUUACAU
This 566-nucleotide ribosomal RNA is filed under the name Patelloida lentiginosa. Its description in RNAcentral is "partial 16S ribosomal RNA". It matches the Rfam family "Bacterial large subunit ribosomal RNA", at positions 1817 to 2601 of the family's 2925-position model. The record is from RNAcentral. Lineage: Eukaryota; Metazoa; Mollusca; Gastropoda; Lottiidae.